GGGGUUAUAGCUCAGCUGGUUAGAGCGCUACGUUGACAUCGUAGAGGUCGUUGGUUCGAUUCCAACUAAUCCCACCA
Molecule: transfer RNA, 77 nt
Filed under: Clostridiales bacterium
Lineage: Bacteria; Bacillati; Bacillota; Clostridia; Eubacteriales
Also listed under: 4 other names
Description: tRNA-Val
Rfam family: tRNA
About the family: Transfer RNA (tRNA) molecules are approximately 80 nucleotides in length. Their secondary structure includes four short double-helical elements and three loops (D, anti-codon, and T loops).
Source: RNAcentral